This 255-nucleotide ribosomal RNA is filed under the name uncultured bacterium. RNAcentral describes it as "partial 16S ribosomal RNA". It matches the Rfam family "Bacterial small subunit ribosomal RNA", at positions 524 to 776 of the family's 1533-position model. The record is from RNAcentral.
UACGUAGGGUCCGAGCGUUGUCCGGAAUUAUUGGGCGUAAAGGGCUCGUAGGCGGUUUGUCGCGUCGGGGAGUGAAAACCAUGGGCUUAACUCAUGGCUUGCUUCCGAUACGGGCAGACUAGAGGUAUGCAGGGGAGAACGGAAUUCCUGGUGUAGCGGUGAAAUGCGCAGAUAUCAGGAGGAACACCGGUGGCGAAGGCGGGUCUCUGGGCCGAUACUGACGCUGAGGAGCGAAAGCAUGGGGGAGCGAACAGG